Molecule: ribosomal RNA, 497 nt
Filed under: uncultured bacterium
Lineage: Bacteria
Description: partial 16S ribosomal RNA
Rfam family: Bacterial small subunit ribosomal RNA
Source: RNAcentral
GCUGAACGCUGGCGGCGUGCCUAAUACAUGCAAGUCGAGCGAACAGAUGAGGAGCUUGCUCCUCUGACGUUAGCGGCGGACGGGUGAGUAACACGUGGAUAACCUACCUAUAAGACUGGGAUAACUUCGGGAAACCGGAGCUAAUACCGGAUAAUAUAUUGAACCGCAUGGUUCAAUAGUGAAAGACGGUUUUGCUGUCACUUAUAGAUGGAUCCGCGCCGCAUUAGCUAGUUGGUAAGGUAACGGCUUACCAAGGCAACGAUGCGUAGCCGACCUGCGAGGGUGAUCGGCCACACGGGAACUGAGACACGGUCCAGACUCCUACGGGAGGCAGCAGUAGGGAAUCUUCCGCAAUGGGCGAAAGCUUGACGGAGCAACGCCGCGUGAGUGAUGAAGGUCUUCGGAUCGUAAAACUCUGUUAUGAGGGAAGAACAAAUGUGUAAGUAACUAUGCACGUCUUGACGGUACCUAAUCAGAAAGCCACGGCUAACUACGUG